UGCGGCUCUCGCACAAACCUACCGACCACCGAGAGCACAUCGUUCACAUCGAUGGGGUCACAGGUUCGAGUCCUGUUGCGACCA
Molecule: transfer RNA, 84 nt
Filed under: bacterium
Lineage: Bacteria
Description: tRNA-Val
Source: RNAcentral